RNAcentral lists this transfer RNA (87 nucleotides) under Candidatus Nealsonbacteria bacterium CG08_land_8_20_14_0_20_38_20. Its description in RNAcentral is "tRNA-Leu". It matches the Rfam family "tRNA". From Rfam's summary of the family: Transfer RNA (tRNA) molecules are approximately 80 nucleotides in length. Their secondary structure includes four short double-helical elements and three loops (D, anti-codon, and T loops). The record is from RNAcentral. Lineage: Bacteria; Candidatus Nealsoniibacteriota.
GCCCGGGUGGCGAAACAGGCACACGCACAACACUUAAAAUGUUGCGGUCGCAAGACCAUGCGGGUUCAAUUCCCGCCCCGGGCACCA